GACGAACGCUGGCGGCGUGCCUAAUACAUGCAAGUAGAACGCUGAAGAGAGGAGCUUGCUCUUCUUGGAUGAGUUGCGAACGGGUGAGUAACGCGUAGGUAACCUGCCUUGUAGCGGGGGAUAACUAUUGGAAACGAUAGCUAAUACCGCAUAACAAUGGAUGACACAUGUCAUUUAUUUGAAAGGGGCAAUUGCUCCACUACAAGAUGGACCUGCGUUGUAUUAGCUAGUAGGUGAGGUAAUGGCUCACCUAGGCGACGAUACAUAGCCGACCUGAGAGGGUGAUCGGCCACACUGGGACUGAGACACGGCCCAGACUCCUACGGGAGGCAGCAGUAGGGAAUCUUCGGCAAUGGAGGCAACCCUGACCGAGCAACGCCGCGUGAGUGAAGAAGGUUUUCGGAUCGUAAAGCUCUGUUGUAAGUCAAGAACGGGUGUGAGAGUGGAAAGUUCACACUAUGACGGUAGCUUACCAGAAAGGGACGGCUAACUACGUG
This 497-nucleotide ribosomal RNA is filed under the name uncultured bacterium. RNAcentral's name for it is "partial 16S ribosomal RNA". It matches the Rfam family "Bacterial small subunit ribosomal RNA", at positions 28 to 507 of the family's 1533-position model. The record is from RNAcentral.